Molecule: ribosomal RNA, 405 nt
Filed under: uncultured bacterium
Lineage: Bacteria
Description: bacterial SSU rRNA
Rfam family: Bacterial small subunit ribosomal RNA
Source: RNAcentral
CAAGGAAUUUUCGGCAAUGGGGGAAACCCUGACCGAGCAACGCCGCGUGGGCGAAGAAGUCUUUCGGGAUGUAAAGCCCUUUUGUGUGAGAAGAAAGAAAGACGGUAUCACACGAAUAAGCAUCGGCUAACUACGUGCCAGCAGCCGCGGUAAUACGUAGGAUGCAAGCGUUGUCCGGAAUUAUUGGGCGUAAAGAGCGAGCAGGCGGUUACUCAAGUCAGAUGUAAAAUAUCCCGGCUUAACCGGGAGGGGCCAUUUGAAACUGGGUAACUAGAGUGAAGCAGAGGAUAGCGGAAUUCCCGGUGUAGUGGUGAAAUGCGUAGAUAUCGGGAGGAACACCAGUGGCGAAGGCGGCUAUCUGGGCUUUAACUGACGCUGAGGCGCGAAGGCUAGGGGAGCAAACAG